This is a long non-coding RNA of Oncorhynchus gorbuscha (pink salmon), 391 nucleotides long. RefSeq lists it as uncharacterized. The transcript is spliced from 4 exons. Lineage: Eukaryota; Metazoa; Chordata; Actinopteri; Salmoniformes; Salmonidae. The record is from RefSeq and is a predicted model, not a curated record.
AGGAACACAGCACAUGCGCAUGGGAGAUCACGCGAGUGGAGGUUCGCGACAACCUGGUGCAGUUCAAGAAAUUCCUCGACAUCAGAGUCAAGCCAUGAGGAAGAAGAGGGUUGACCAUUUCUAGUUCUGUUUCCGUAAAGAAAAGUCGAGAGCAUGUUUCCAGAGCAUGUUUACAAGAACACACAGAGCGAGGACGUCUCUGUGGUUGCAUUAGAGUCUUUGGAAUAUAUGACCCAAUUAUUUAACAGCCUGACUCCUUUCACAUGGAACAAAGAAACACUGAACCUGUUCAAAAACAGAUGACCUAGUUAAGUUAAGAAAUUGGAGGGAUGCGUCGGGUGUGGUGUUGGGGCAUCCUCUGGAGAUGGAGGGUCAGUGACUUCAGGCAAAG